RNAcentral lists this ribosomal RNA (253 nucleotides) under uncultured bacterium. RNAcentral describes it as "partial 16S ribosomal RNA". It matches the Rfam family "Bacterial small subunit ribosomal RNA", at positions 524 to 776 of the family's 1533-position model. The record is from RNAcentral.
UACGGAGGGUGCAAGCGUUAAUCGGAAUUACUGGGCGUAAAGCGCGCGUAGGUGGUUUGUUAAGUUGAAUGUGAAAUCCCCGGGCUCAACCUGGGAACUGCAUGCAAAACUGGCAAGCUAGAGUAUGGUAGAGGGUGGUGGAAUUUCCUGUGUAGCGGUGAAAUGCGUAGAUAUAGGAAGGAACACCAGUGGCGAAGGCGACCACCUGGACUGAUACUGACACUGAGGUGCGAAAGCGUGGGGAGCAAACAGG